GGGACAACAGCUAGAAAUGGCUGCUAAUACCGCAUAAGCCUACAGCCUCGCAUGAGGGAGUAGGAAAAGAAAUUCGGUGCAGGAUGAGUCCGCGUCUGAUUAGCUAGUUGGAGGGGUAAAAGCCCACCAAGGCAACGAUCAGUAGCCGGCCUGAGAGGGCGACCGGCCACAUUGGGACUGAGACACGGCCCAAACUCCUACGGGAGGCAGCAGUGGGGAAUAUUGCACAAUGGGGGAAACCCUGAUGCAGCGACGCCGCGUGAGCGAGGAAGUAUUUCGGUAUGUAAAGCUCUAUCAGCAGGGACGAAAAAAGACGGUACCUGACUAAGAAGCCCCGGCUAACUACGUGCCAGCAGCCGCGGUAAUACGUAGGGGGCAAGCGUUAUCUGGAUUUACUGGGUGUAAAGGGAGCGUAGACGGCAAGGCAAGCCAGAAGUGAAAGGGCAGGGCUCAACCCUGUACAUGCUUUUGGAACUGUGGUGCUAGAGUGCAGGAGAGGUAAGUGGAAUUCCUAGUGUAGCGGUGAAAUGCGUAGAUAUUAGGAGGAACACCAGUGGCGAAGGCGGCUUACUGGACUGUAACUGACGUUGAGGCUCGAAAGCGUGGGGAGCAAACAGGAUUAGAUACCCUGGUAGUCCACGCUGUAAAC
RNAcentral lists this ribosomal RNA (649 nucleotides) under uncultured bacterium. Its description in RNAcentral is "bacterial SSU rRNA". It matches the Rfam family "Bacterial small subunit ribosomal RNA", at positions 140 to 807 of the family's 1533-position model. The record is from RNAcentral.